Molecule: non-coding RNA, 114 nt
Organism: Acanthosepion pharaonis
Lineage: Eukaryota; Metazoa; Mollusca; Cephalopoda; Sepiida; Sepiidae
Source: the annotation of a GenBank genome assembly
UUACGGUCAUAUCACGUUGAAACACCGGUUCACGUACGAUCACCGAAGUUAAGCAACGUCGAGCCUAGUCAGUAACUAGAGGGGCGACCUCUUGAGAAUACCAGCUGCUGUAAG